GUUAGAGAUAGAGAGAGUGAG
RNAcentral lists this microRNA (21 nucleotides) under Prunus persica (peach). RNAcentral's name for it is "ppe-miR6281". The record is from miRBase by way of RNAcentral. Lineage: Eukaryota; Viridiplantae; Streptophyta; Magnoliopsida; Rosales; Rosaceae.